RNAcentral lists this ribosomal RNA (386 nucleotides) under uncultured bacterium. RNAcentral's name for it is "bacterial SSU rRNA". It matches the Rfam family "Bacterial small subunit ribosomal RNA", at positions 29 to 416 of the family's 1533-position model. The record is from RNAcentral.
AUUGAACGCUGGCGGAAUGCUUUACACAUGCAAGUCGAACGGCAGCACGAGGGCAACCUUGGUGGCGAGUGGCGAACGGGUGAGUAAUACAUCGGAACGUGCCCAGUCGUGGGGGAUAACGUAGCGAAAGCUACGCUAAUACCGCAUACGAUCUAUGGAUGAAAGCGGGGGACCGUAAGGCCUCGCGCGAUUGGAGCGGCCGAUGGCAGAUUAGGUAGUUGGUGGGGUAAAGGCUCACCAAGCCUGCGAUCUGUAGCUGGUCUGAGAGGACGACCAGCCACACUGGAACUGAGACACGGUCCAGACUCCUACGGGAGGCAGCAGUGGGGAAUUUUGGACAAUGGGCGCAGGCCUGAUCCAGCAAUGCCGCGUGAGUGAAGAAGGCC